UGUUGCAGCCCAGCGCGAGCUGACCAGCUGCUGCGUAUACAUCUGUGCAGCCACAGCCAUGUUAACAAGGCCAAAACAAAACAAGUGACAAACUCCAACAAAGGGCAGUGUGAGCAGGGAAGGCAGGAGGAUCUCCCCGUUGGUCCUCUACCACCAAAGGAAGCCGAAAAGAAGGACCAAGACGCCCUUGCUAGGAAACUGAGGGUCUCAUCUUUGGAAUGCGUCUCUCUACGUCUGCGAUAUCCCACCCUGGCAGUCCUCCGAACAGAGCCCUCACAGUGCCUGCAGAGAAAACUCCUGGCCCUCGGACAAAUGUAACCGAGGAUCCCUGCCGUGCAUCCUUUCAAAGCGAAGGGAGGAAUCUAAGGCAGCAGUAAAUAUGAAAAAUAAAAAUCUCACAAAGAUUCAGCGCUGGAAAAGGCUUUCACAGAAUCCUGCCGCUGCCUGUCGAGACUCUAUUUCAUCUAUAGAACUGGGAUUAUAUCUCAAAGGCCAGCCUCUGUUCGAACAAAAGCAGCUGAUGAUGGCAAAUUAGGCUUUUUUUUGUUGUGAGGAAAGAAAAAGCUCCAACAUCUAACUUGGUGGUCUCUGAUUAUCCAUAAAUAUAUAUUCACACGCAGCUGGAAAUGCGGCACAACAAACCACAGGAGGCUAGCAAGAUGUGCAUUUUGUUCAACUGGGCUUGUUAAGUCAGUCGAGAGCCUCGGAGUAGACAUGUUACACUUUGGUCAAGGACACAUCUCAGUGGUUCGUUGACACUCUUUAUUGUGCCAAGAGGCAAUGGGAAAUCAAUGGGCCUGACCUGUCCAAUGUAAUGUACCUAUAAGCUCACUGAGGUCACUGUCAGGAAAGAUCCGCCUCAGCAGAGUACACAGAAAACUUUGAAAGGUCCUCGGGGACAUUUCCAACUAAAUGGAGCAAUAUGUCACAUCAAUAUUGCACCCCGUGCGUGGCAUCCGCUUUUCGACACAGCAAACACAUCAGAGAACGUGCAGAGGAAAAGUUCUUUGCGAGAGCUGAGUGUGCACAAGUAGACGGAGAUACAGAUCAGACGUGUGGACCCCGAGCGGCUUUAUCUGCUCCGUCUUGCAGCUCAGCGGGGGCCUCGCUCGCUCCGAGCCGCUGCACAGUUGGCUGAGCUAUUGAUCUCAUUGUUGCUAAAGACACUUCAUGUACCCUGAAAGACUGCAGCACAAAGCGGUGACAUUGAUAGGGCCACACGGAGGUGGGCCUUUUUGUUCUGCCUGUGUGUGGGAGUUGGACUUAGGAUGGGGGUGGGCGCUGAGCCUCGAGCUGACCCACGCGGGACAACGUGUAAACUUUGGAUUGUGGUGACGCUAAAAUGUCAGGCUGUCGUACUUGUUUUGUUUUUUUUGUGCGGGCUCAUUUAAAAGUCAUGCACACUGGAACAAUGACUAAUACAUUUUUUCAACUAGUAUCAUACUAGUAGUAUAAUGUAAUAUAUUAUUAGUAUUUUUGGAUAAUAUGUACAGCGUUGUAUCCUUUCAUAUGAGUAGAGUUAAUAAAUGGGUUAGAAAUGUGUUAAUGCCAAUGGAACCACUAUCAUCACAUACUCCUGAGUAGUCCAAAAUGUGGAAUUCAACCAAUAGUUUAGGUUAAAAAACGCCUUUAAAUUUACACACAACUUUGGAGUUUGAACACCCCCAAAUGAAAGGAUUAAUCCUGUUUAUGCAUGAUGCUUUUUCUUUGGCUUUUUGUGGCUUUAAAAAAAAAAUACUUAUUCUAAAAAAGGGCCUCCAUCAUGGACGACGUCACACAAUGUUCCCGCUAAUUUUUCAAGUGUCUGAGCGCCACCAGACGGGCACACUUGUAGUAUCACACCAAAAAUCUGUCAAAACCUGAGAACCUAAGGAAGUCCAAGUUCCAGUGUGUGCUGUUUUGUAUGUGUGAGUUCAAAAUGUCAGCAAGGAGUAUUUCACAAUGUAGCUUUCUUUACUGGCAACCUCAGACAAAACAAGCAGUAGAACUAUCUCAUCCCACACAACCAGCCGCAUCCCUCGGGCAAACUCGGCGUAACACUUCCUGUCAUUCGGCCAUCAAGUCCGGCCAUCAAAAUAAAAGCAUGCCCCAGUACCACAUCCCUGCUACCCAUUUUUGGUUCCCAAAACGUUAAGAAAACUUUGCAUUUUUUUUGGUUUGGUUUUGAGCAUCGGUUGGUUGCCCCUUGGCUGCAGUGGAAAGUUUUCGUUACGCUUUUUGAACGUUGCCUGGUGGUUACAAUGUUCCCAAAGAAAAGUGUCUCAGAGCACCCCUUUCUCAUUGGAAAAAGAAAAAAAUCUCACCCAUAUUCAACUCUUGUUCUUCUUUUGUGGCUUUUUCCGACACGUACUGUAUUUCAAAAGAUGAACCAGCCUCAACAAGGACAUGAAGUCCACCAGACGUUCGGGGCCUCAUUCAAGGCAUUCAAGAGUUGAGGGAGUGUUUUUGUUUUUGGAACUGCAUUUUGAAGAUGUUAAGAACAAUUAACUAUGUGCUGCAUGAGCCAAUGUUACAUUUUUUUGUCAUUUAAGUUAAGAGUUGAGUCUGUUAUUGU
Molecule: long non-coding RNA, 2554 nt
Organism: Dunckerocampus dactyliophorus (ringed pipefish)
Lineage: Eukaryota; Metazoa; Chordata; Actinopteri; Syngnathiformes; Syngnathidae
Exons: 3
Source: RefSeq, a predicted model, not a curated record